UAGGGAAUUGUUCGCAAUGGGCGCAAGCCUGACGACGCAACGCCGCGUGGAGGAUGAAGGUCUUCGGAUUGUAAACUCCUGUCGUGUGGGACGAACAUUCAUCGGGCUAAUCACCGAUGGACUGACGGUACCACGAAAGGAAGCCCCGGCUAACUCUGUGCCAGCAGCCGCGGUAAUACAGAGGGGGCGAGCGUUGUUCGGAAUUACUGGGCGUAAAGGGCGCGUAGGCGGCCUGUUAAGUCAUACGUGAAAUCCCCAGGCUCAACCUGGGAACUGCGUGUGAUACUGGCGGGCUUGAAUUCGGGAGAGGGAUGCGGAAUUCCAGGUGUAGCGGUGAAAUGCGUAGAUAUCUGGAGGAACACCGGUGGCGAAGGCGGCAUCCUGGACCGAUAUUGACGCUGAUGCGCGAAAGCCAGGGGAGCAAACGG
This 428-nucleotide ribosomal RNA is filed under the name uncultured bacterium. RNAcentral's name for it is "bacterial SSU rRNA". It matches the Rfam family "Bacterial small subunit ribosomal RNA", at positions 355 to 775 of the family's 1533-position model. The record is from RNAcentral.